RNAcentral lists this transfer RNA (72 nucleotides) under Pseudobacteriovorax antillogorgiicola. It matches the Rfam family "tRNA". From Rfam's summary of the family: Transfer RNA (tRNA) molecules are approximately 80 nucleotides in length. Their secondary structure includes four short double-helical elements and three loops (D, anti-codon, and T loops). Lineage: Bacteria; Pseudomonadati; Bdellovibrionota; Oligoflexia; Oligoflexales; Pseudobacteriovoracaceae. The record is from Rfam by way of RNAcentral.
GGCUCCAUAGUUAAACGGAUAUAACAAGCGCUUCCUAAGCGUUAGUUCUAGGUUCGAUUCCUGGUGGGGCCG